AGUGAACGCUGGCGGUAGGCCUAACACAUGCAAGUCGAACGGAAGCACAGUAAGAGCUUGCUCUUACGGGUGGCGAGUGGCGGACGGGUGAGGAAUACAUCGGAAUCUACUUUUUCGUGGGGGAUAACGUAGGGACACUUACGCUAAUACCGAAUAUGACCUACGGGUGAAAGCAGGGGAUCUUCGGACCUUGCGCGAUUGAAUGAGCCGAUGUCGGAUUAGCUAGUUGGCGGGGUAAAGGCCCACCAAGGCGACGAUCCGUAGCUGGUCUGAGAGGAUGAUCAGCCACACUGGAACUGAGACACGGUCCAGACUCCUACGGGAGGCAGCAGUGGGGAAUAUUGGACAAUGGGCGCAAGCCUGAUCCAGCCAUACCGCGUGGGUGAAGAAGGCCUUCGGGUUGUAAAGCCCUUUUGUUGGGAAAGAAAAGCAGCAGGUUAAUACCCCGCUGUUCUGACGGUACCCAAAGAAUAAGCACCGGCUAACUUCGUG
Molecule: ribosomal RNA, 492 nt
Filed under: uncultured bacterium
Lineage: Bacteria
Description: partial 16S ribosomal RNA
Rfam family: Bacterial small subunit ribosomal RNA
Source: RNAcentral